CUUUAACCGUCUGGAAAACGGUAAUAUAAGAGACAGCCAUGGAUAACGUGUUUCCACAAAGCGGAUCCACGCGAAGUCUAGGUUUCUGUGGUAGUCAUCAUAAAGUACCACCAGAGUCGAUCACCCUGCUUUUGACCGUUAUUAUGGCUCGACGCAUCGGAGUUCUUGUUCUGAUCUUCGCUUUGUUUGCCUAUGGUAUCAUGGCCGCUCCAAAGAAUAAAGAAGCUAGCGAACGAAGCCGCACAGAUGCUUACGCGGAUGUCGCUCGGGCUCCCGAAGAAGCAAGAAUCUCAGCCGACCAGCUGGGUACCGUAAUCGGUACAAACGCGCUGGGUUGAAGUAGAUGAAGUUGUUUUCACGACUUGAAGCCCACUUACGGGGCAACUUCGGUGUUACGCUUUAAUUUUUUUAAUUAUCAGCUCUAUGUCAAUAAACUGAAGUAAACUUAAGGUUA
Molecule: long non-coding RNA, 454 nt
Organism: Dermacentor andersoni
Lineage: Eukaryota; Metazoa; Arthropoda; Arachnida; Ixodida; Ixodidae
Source: RefSeq, a predicted model, not a curated record